This 332-nucleotide long non-coding RNA is filed under the name Theobroma cacao (cacao). RNAcentral describes it as "long non-coding RNA (TCAC_LNC000703)". Lineage: Eukaryota; Viridiplantae; Streptophyta; Magnoliopsida; Malvales; Malvaceae. The record is from RNAcentral.
UUGUGUUGACUGAGAAAAAGAAAAAUUCAAAUCCAAUUAAUUUUUGGAUAGAAGUCUUGAGAGAGAAGCAAUCCAAUAGGAUGAAAAGUGAAAACAACGUUAAUGAAAGCAUCAAAGAGAAAAGAAGCUUUUUUGGGUUUUGGCUAACUAUGGACCAUGGAGAAAGGAGCCAUUCCUUUUUCAGAAAAUUUAGCAUAUAUUCCGUCUGACGUUGAUCCCAUUAUCUCAGGCAGACUUAACCAUCUAAAAGCUUUUUGAUCGGUUGACUCUGCAAUGAAAAGAAGCUUAUUCACCCAAACCCAUGUGCCUCCACCAAAUCUAUAAUUUCUGAU